AGAAGAGCCGAGAGGGCUGGUUUCAAGGCAAUUGCCCUUACAGUUGAUACUCCGAGACUCGGUCGCAGAGAAGCUGAUAUCAAGAACAGGUAUCAUUGUCUCGCAGAGUCUUCGAGGCCGUUAAGCAUUCUUCGUAAUAUGCUCGAGUUACACUCAAAGAGUCUUGUGUUUCAAAAUUCCCUUGCAGGUUCACUUUACCACCAUUUUUGACAUUGAAGAACUUUGAAGGUUUGGACCUUGGCAAGAUGGAUCAAGUGAGUAGUCCUUUCGACAUUUGUGUUAAAAAAUAUACUAAUGAGAUGAGCAUUUGUUUUCUAAGAUAUUUAACUUGUUAUUGGGAGCCAUGCAGGCUGAUGACUCGGGUCUUGCUUCGUAUGUUGCCGGACAAAUCGAUCGUUCCCUUAGCUGGAAGGUACGUAUAUGCACGAGCCGAUCCAGGGCUUCUAUCGGUUAAUUACAAUGUUCAUGUUAUAGUUUUGAUUAAACGUGUAAUAAAUGUACUCUAUUGGCUAUGCAUAGGAUGUGAAAUGGCUUCAAACAAUCACCAAAUUGCCAAUUCUUGUGAAGGGUGUACUCACGGCUGAAGAUAGUAAGAAAGAACUCGAACCCUUCUCUGUUUCUCAGGUCCGUUUUGAUAACAUAUACUGAUUUUUUGAACUAUAUAUCGAUGCUUGUCUCGUAGCAAGGAUAGCGAUACAGGCUGGAGCAGCCGGUAUCAUCGUCUCCAACCACGGAGCUCGCCAACUUGAUUACGUUCCUGCCACUAUCAUGGCCCUGGAAGAGGUAAACCAGUGGUUUCAGACAUAGGGAACACAUAACCGAAAACUUCAUGUUUCACAAAUUAUUGAAACUCUCUCAGGUUGUCAAAGCUGCUCAAGGUCGGGUUCCUGUCUUCUUGGACGGUGGUGUUCGGCGUGGAACCGAUGUUUUUAAAGCUUUGGCAUUGGGAGCCUCUGGUAUAUUUGUAAGUAUAUAACUGUCCUCCCGUAUAGGGGUUGCACCAUGAAGCUGCAAAAGUUGAUAUUAUACAAUCGUGCAUUGUUAUAACAAUGGUGCGCCUUAAAUCUCAGAUUGGGCGACCAGUGGUGUUCUCAUUGGCUGCUGAAGGAGAAGCUGGCGUGAGGAAAGUGCUUUCGAUGCUGCGCGACGAGUUCGAGCUAACCAUGGCGUUGAGCGGUUGUCGUUCGCUUAAAGAAAUCACUCGUGACCACAUCGUGACAGAAUGGGACAGUCCUCAUCCUCGUCCGGCCCCGAGACUGUAGAGUCCUAUAUAUUAUGGGCGUGCAACUUUAGCCUAGCAAAUCGCAAGAUGAACUUAGUUGGAGCUCAAGAGAUAUAUAUAGCAUUUGCAUUGCAUUUAUGGCAUAAAAUUACUGUCCUUUUUUUUCUUUGGGAACAAGUUUCUGUUUCAUUGAGUUAAAAGGUUAUGUAAUGAUAAUGUUGGCUACUGUUGCCUUUUCUGUAUAUUCUUUUCUUAAAAACAAAUUGGUAAUAUGGUUGUCGAAACCAUCUUUUGAGUUUGAAAAAACGGGGAUCGACUUUUAAAAUGAAAACGGAGAAUUGUCACCGAUCUUUUAUUGAGGUGUGAUCGGAUCACCUUGAAAACGAUUUUAGGUCUACGAAUUUUGAGAAAACUGGUUCAGGAAUCGAUUAUGCACGAGGAAGGGUUAGCACCCUCGUAACGCCCAAAAUUGGUACCGAAUUGAUUGUUUAAUGUCUUAAUAUGAAAAAUUUGAAAAGAUUUUUAAUAUACGAUCCAUUGAAAAAGAGAAUUUGAAUAGAAUGAAUUUGAUUGAUGUGACUCACUUAUUUUAAAGAAAUAAAUUAUCACACUCAAUAAGUUAGAGUGUAACAUUUUAAAUCCUCAAAAUUAAGUUUAUUUUUUUACUUUUGAAAUUUAUGCAUUUUUGAGAAGGAUAUCAGGUUAUUUGGGUCAAACGAUAAAUUAAACCCAGUAAGUUAGGGUUUAUUUCCUCGAAAUUCCUAAACACCAAAUAUUGCCUUUAUUUUUUUCAUUAGAAAAACAAAAUUCUCAUCUCGAGACAACAAUACGUCAUAUCCAAUGCGUUAGGACACUAUGUAUUGAAUUCUCGAGAAUGAGCUUUUUAUUUUGAAAUUUCUAUAUUCAAUUUGAAAAAAGGGGUAUUCGGUUAUUUAAAUCCAGCAAGGAGAAUUGAAGCCCAGUAAGUUAGGGUACAAUCCUCUCGAGAAUUUUGGAUACCGAGUAUUUGAAAAUUGUGAAAUAAAAAUGAUUUUGGUGCUUUAAUAAAAUACAAUUUUUACAAAUGAGACAUGAUUGAAGCAAUAUAUAAUGUAAAACAUAAAUAACAACCUAAGUAUGCACUAAUAAAUUGUAAACAAAUAGUAGGUAAAUGUAAAUAACCAUAUGAUUUGUCAUAUUAUACAAAUAUCAAUAUUAAUAUUCUAAACUAAAUAACUCUAGCAUCAAUUAAAAGAUACACCAAAAUAAAAAUAAAAAUCACUAUGUUCUACGUAUAGGAAUUUUAAAAUAAAUUACAUACAUGAAUUCAUAAUAGACUUGAAAUAAAAUAAUAGCAUAUAGAUAUACAAAAAAAAACAAAAUUUAAGACACAAUCUAAAACAAAACGUUAAAAUAUAUACGUAUUAUAUCAAAUUCUUACAAAAAAAAAUAUAUAUAUAUAUAUAUAUUAAUAAAUGAUGAACCAAAUAAUAUCAUGUCAAGUUUGAAAAUAAUAGUAUAUAAUAGACUCUAAAAAAACAAUGUAUGAUAACUUUAAAACAUAUUAACUUGAAAUAUUAAAAUAAUAUUAGAAAUACGAACUAAAUUUGUCAAAAUAUGAACUAAUUCGAUUUAAAAUUAAACUAAUAAAAGUUUAGUUAAAAUUGAAACACGGUAAAAAAAAACAAAAAUAGAAUAAACUAGAGGAAUCAAAAUUAAAUUGAAAUUAAAACAAAAUUAGAUAGGUAAAAAACAUAAAAGAAAAUAAAAGAAAGAUUAAAUUUAAACUCGAUUUAAAAACCAAGGGACCUCAACAGCAAAUAAGCACAUAAAUCCUGAUAUUCAAAAUCAAACAUGGGAAACGGCACCGUUUGAACGUGGAUCCAUUUGGAAUCGGAACCAAAUAUGCGGUAUAAAUUAAAAAAUUGAAGAAAACCAAACUGAAACAAUACAAAACAAAGGACUUGUUGCUUAAAUAAACCAGAAAGGCUGGACGCGCAGAUCCUUCCCCGGGUCGGGUCACCGCGCGGAUCAAGCCAUCAAACGGCGCCGUUUUGAAGCCAUCGUGUUGGCUCAAACGACGGCAUUUUAUCCCUAUGCUUAAAGGGCUAACAGAACCCUAAGAAACCUGAUAUUAUUUCAACCUAAAAACCUAAAAGAAAAGAACAAUCUCUGCGCCGCUCUACACAACGGUUGUUCAAGAAGGAUCUCCGUACCUUCACUCCAAAAAAGAUCUGGCCACGAGGUACGUCCGUCCCUUCCUUUCUGUUAUUAUAUAUAUAUAUAUACUCAUAUAUAUAUUUAAUGGUAAACAAAAAAGAAAAAAAACAGCAAUCGAAAAAUCGAAUGGAAAAGAGAAAAAAAAAACCUUUCGUAUUGAUUUUCCUUCUUUCUUUACAUUUGCGUGUGUCCCCCCUUUUACAGAUUUUUGCCAUGGCUUUAUAUUGCCAAAAAGAAAAAUAGAAAUCCCCCCCAAAUCCCUUUUUUACGUUUUUCUUAUUUUCUACCAGUUCUUUUUUUGAUUUGUUGUCGAUUUCUGCCCUUUUUUGUUGCAUUCUGUCUGUUGCUUUGCAGGUGUUUGUUGUGAGUUGUUGCAGGUAUCGUACGAAGACGUGGCACGGCUCGGCGCGGUGCAUAGAGGCUACGGUUACGGCGGCUGGAGAGAGCGGCGCUGGAGGCUGCUGUUGCGGCGCUCGUGCUAGGGCUGAAUGCCUAGGGUUUCUGGCAUUUGGUUUAGGCCAGUUGGGCCAGGGUAUUGGGCUUAGGUUCGGGCUAAGUUAAUUGGGUUAGAUUUUGAUGGGCAUUUGGGCUAGUCUAGCUUAGGCUAAAAUGAUUUGGGCCACGUUGGGCCCAUGUAUUUGGACUGUGGACUUUGUUUUACUUUUGUUUUUAUUUAUUUGUGAUUUUGGGCCCUGGAAAAUUGGGCCUAUUACAAUGGGUAUGUUGGAUAAUUACUACAGUCAAGUACAAAUAAUUAGGAAAUAAAAAUAAAUAAAUAAAUAUCACCUUAGGGAGAAUUAUUGUUUUAGAAGCGAUUUCGCCCUUAUUGGUGUAAUUAGAAAUGGACGUUGCCCCCAAAGGUUAAUACAGUGCUUCCAAAUUCGUAAACCUAAAUGAAUAAGAUGGAACUCAAAAGGAUUGUUCUUUUUUGUGAAAAGAAGGAAUGGCAGAAUGAGGGAGGAAACAGUGAAAACUGAGAAGAGGCGGAGAACCAACUGGGAGGAGAAAGAGAGAAGAGAGCUGAAUGGUUUUCUGUACAUUUUGCAAAUGAGGGAAGACUCCCUUUUAUAACUAAAACAAAGGCAAUUUACGUCAAAAAAAUAUUUGAACGGUUCCACAUCAUUCCCCCAAAUCCACUCACUUCAGCUCCUCCAUAAUCGCAUAUUCAAUUUGAAAUUUAUUAUUUAUUAAUUUUAUGAAACAAUUAAACUUUAGAAAAUGAGAUAGAUAAAAAAAAUGUUUUUUCUGAUAAAUUCAUGCGAACUGUACCCAAAAAGAAACACAGUCGUACGUGUCGAUGACAAGAACAUGAACUGGGUGGGCGGCGACAAUGGUGGCGUGCAUGAAUGGGUUUAGUCUUUUAUUAUUCAAUGAGAAUAAACCCAAAAGACUGUAUUUAAACCUUUGUGAAGGCCAAUAUUUUAUCAAUGUGAGAUUUUUUACAUUAUCCAUAUUCUCCAACUAAUGCAAAGAAAUAAAAAUUUUAUAAAAGACGGGAAAAUGAGUAACAGCGAAAUUAGCUGCUUAAGUACUAGUAUCUGUUAAAUUGGCACUAAUACAUAGUGAAAUGAGCAAUUCUUCUUUUAACAAGUGAACGAAUUUGGAACUCGUUCAAAUAGGAGUCAAAUCAUAAAAACAACUAAUCUCAGGUCCAAUAGAGUUCCGCGGUAGAUCAACAAUUUAGCUAAUAUACCUUGGGAUGCUGGUAAAUGCUCUAGAAAAACAACUCAACUUCUUUCAUAAAAGGUGACUAAUCCUUCACACUUAUGUAGGUGAUUUCAUCAAGCCUAUCUCAGUAUAGACCACUCGGGUCAGGGCAAUGAAAUCAUUAAAAGCAUUUAAUAAGCUCAACCUCUUAAUUUAAAAAUUCGGUGAAUUCAACAAGUCUAUCUAAAUAGAACCACCCAGAGCCUGGGAUAUGAAUUCAUAAAGAACAUUUAGUGGCUCAUCCUAUAAAUUCAGUAGGUUUAUCAAGUCUGUCUCAAUAGGACCACCCAAACUCUAGGCUGUGAACUCAUUAAGAGCUUCUGGUAGUUCAUCCUAUAAAUUUGGUGAAUUCAUCAAGUCCGUCUUAGUAGGACCACCCAAACUCUGAGCAAUGAACUCAUUAAGAGUAACAAACUCAUCCUUAUGCAUGUACAUUAUGCGCCAUAGGGAUAGGUAAAUAUGUACUCUAUGAGUCUUUCCAUGGUUUCAUUUAAUCAUAUUGAACUUAAAAGGCUAAGUUGAGUAUCCACCAUGAGUUCCUCAACCAAUGGGCUUAAGACUCAUUCCCCUCGAUGAAUCAAGAACUACUUUCCUAUAUAACCCUUUGGUUAGUGGAUCAGCUAGGUUCCUCUCAGAUCUUACGUACUCCAUGACGAAUACUCCAUCCUUUAUUUUAUUCUUUAUUAAGUGUCUCACAAGUCAUGUCUUAUUUGUAUAUGCCUUUUCUUGCUAUUAUAAGCCUGGAUCUCAUUCUGCAAGCAAAUUCCUGAGCCACUCGACGUCUUGCCUGGCUAAAUCAAGAGUUAUAAACUCUUAUUUUAUGGUGGAGCAAGCAACACAGGAGCGAGUAACACACGUCUGUUUAGUAUACUUCCAAGAAAUAAUUGCUCCACCCAAAGUAAAACAUAUAGCAACUAUUAGAGCUGACCUCAUCAUUAUCAGAUAGAUCUCCUCAUCUAAAUCACCAUUCAAGAAAGUAGUAUUCACAUUCAUCUGAUGCAUAAGUAAGUUGUGAAUGGAAGCUAAAGCAAACAAAACACGAAUGAUUGAGAUCUUAGUAACGGGAGAGUAUGUAUCGAAAAAAUUAACUCCAAAUUUUUGAAUAAAUCCCUUUACAGCUAGUCUUGCCUUAUACAUUUGGAUUGAUCCAUCUGGUCUAAGUUUCUUUCUAAAAACCCAUUUAUUACUAAUAGAUUUAUAAUCUUUAGGUAAGUCCACUAACUCCCAAGUAUGAUUAGAAAUAAUAGAUUCUAGCUCAUUGUUAAUAGCAUUUCUCCAGAAACUAGCAUCAAUUGGUUUUACAACUUCAUCAUAUGUUUUUGGAUCCUCAUCUAUUAGGAAAGUAUGAGCAACAAAAUCACUUAUUAAGUCUAAUUCAACAAUUUUAGUUAUAAAAGAAGUAAGGAAGUCAAGAUCAAAAUUAGUUGCAGUUUUUUGUCUUUUACUCUUCCUAGGUUCAUCAUCAUAUUGAGAAUCCCUAGUAUGUUUACUAGAAGAGGAAGAAUCAUGUUCAUCUAACUGUAUGUCAUGCAUUAUAAUAGAUUUAUUUAAAGGGAAAAUGUUUUCGAAGAAAAUAACAUCUCUAGAUUUGCAAAUAGAAUGAUCAUGCAAUGACAUAAAUCUAUAUGUCGCAUUGUUUAAAGCAUAAUCAAUAAAAGUUGCAUCAAAAGUAUUACAGAUUAGGGGCAUAACAUUUUCAUAAUUCAUAUGGGGUGCAGUCUAAUUUUUUAUGAGGCACUCUGUUAAGAAUGUUAUUUGCAGAAAAUACAACCUCCACCCACAUAUUGUUAGACAAGCUAGAACUUAGAAGUAAGAAGUUCAUCAUUUCUUUUAAAGUUCUAUUCUUUCUUUCAGUUAUGUCAUUUUGUUGUGAAAUAUAAAGGGCAGUGAACUCAUGUAUUAUGCCAUGUUUCUUACAUACUUCUUUUAGAAAAUUAGUGUUAUAUUCACCGCCUCUAUCGGAUCUAACCCAUUUAAUUCUCCUAUCAAGUUGGUCUUCUACUUCUACUUUAUAAAGAAGGAAUGCUUUAUCAGCUUCAUCUUUUUACCCUAGGAGAUAAACCUUUGUGUAUCUAGAGUAAUCAUCUACAAAGGUAAUAUAAAAUUGUUUUCCUUCUUUACUCUUUAUGUUUCUAAAAUUUGUUAGAUUUGUGUGAAUUAACUCUAAAAGUGCAGCAUUCCUAUCAGCAACAUGUUUGAAGUGAGGACUACUAUGCUUUGAUUCAACACAUAUUUCACAUUUAUUAAAGUUGUUAUCUAGAUUAGGAAGCAUUUUCAUCUCUUUAAGCAUUUUAAGGGAGUGAAAGUUCACGUGUACUAAUCUAACAUGCCACAUAUCAAGAGACUUAAGAAUGUAAGCAAAAGUAGAAGUUUUAUUAAUAGCAUUAGACACAGUCUCGAUCACAAACAACCCUUCACUCGGGUAACCUUUUCUUACAUAGUUUCCAUUACGGGAAAGUAUAAGUUUGUCAGAUUCAAAGACUAGUUUAAUGCCUGCCUUAUUUAGAAGUCCACCACUAAUCAAGUUUCUACGUAAAGUAGGAACAUACAAAACAUUAUUUAAAGUAAGUGUUUUGCCAAAAGUAAGCUUAAGUAAAAUCUUUCUUUUGCCGAGUACUUUUGAACUACUAGAAUUACCCAUUUAGACUUGUUCACCUUCAGAUACAUUCUCAAAUUCGAUGAACAUCUCUCUGUUGGCACAGAAAUGUUUAGAAGCGUUUGUGUCUACUAUCCACUCGGAGUCAUUUUUCACUAGGUUGACCUCGAAAACCACAACAGCGGUCACUUCGUCUAAAUCUUCAAUCAGGUUCGCUAAUGGUUUGUUCUCAUUCUGAUUAUGACUCUUGGAGCGAUUAGAGUGCCGAAAGCAUUGGUAUGCUCUGUGUCCUGGGCUUACUGCAUACAUAACAACUCAUUAGGUUGUUGGACUUUUGAUUCUUUCUAGGUUUCUUGAAUUUAGCGAGCUUCUUGGAUUGAACCUGUUAAGUUUAGGACCAGAAGAAGAUUCCACGAGGUUAGCCUUAAACCUGUCUAAAUCUAUUUGAAUUGCAAUUGAAUAAUGAUAAUGAUUCAUUUAUCAUUUAAUUAUAUUUUUAUUUUUUGAAUAAUCUCAUUAUAAGUUCUGAUCAUAUCUGAUCUCUUUAAGAUAUUGCCUAUAACUACCCACAGCCCCUCCCCAACCCAUAAAUAGGAGAAUAAUGCACUUCUGUGCACUCGAACCCUCGUCCUCCUACAUUGACAAAAAUACCAAUGCCAAUCGAGUUAAGACUUAAUUAACAUUUAUCAUUUAAAUUUAAAUUUAAAUAUAACAACAUUUUUUUUUGGAUACGAUGAUGUGUUAGAAAUUAAGAAAAAUAUUUAUUAUAUAAAUUUAAAUAUAAAUUAUGUUAAUGCAAUAUUUACCUUCCAACUAUAAUAUUAGUUGCAACUUAAAAAAUAAUUGACCCUUGAUUGGUAUAUUUUUACCUAAAUUAAUAUAUUCUUAUUUUGAUUACUUGUGUGGUUUAUUAGCGACGCAUCUUUGAAGUCAAACAAUCAAAUUGAACACUUUUAAUAUAAUUCAAAUUCCCUUAAAGAUGGAGUCAUAAAAGAAGUUUGAUAGCACAGAGAUCUCACUCAUUACAAGUAUAAUUAAAAACCUUUUCACUUGACUAUUUUAAUGGAAAGAAGUGGUUAUAAUUGAACAAGUCUUAUUAAAUAUACACAUUGAGAGAGCAUCUUAUUUAUUUAUAAAACGACAAUUUUAUUGAAUGCAAAAUGUUAACAUAUGUGGUUAUCUUUUUUAUUUGCCUAUUUUCAAGUUUGGCAUACUUUAGAAGAAAAAUAUUGAACUAUCUGUUGUGGGAUUAUUAAGAUGAAUUAAAACCCAAAACAUAAAAAUCAAUUAAGUUGAAAUUGAAGAUUUGAAUAUUGAUUUCUUGCGGAUAGAUAAUAUAUUAGUCUUUUAAUCAAUUUGUUCAUUUUCAAUUAGACUAAUGACAUGUUUAGGUUCAUUUAUUGAUAUAAGUUUUCUUUUCGUAUUAUGAUCCGACCAUGUAAUACUGCUUAUUAUUAGUUAAACUUUAGAUAACCAUUGAGCCAAUAUUUACUUUCAUUUUGCUUUGUGCAAAAACCAUUGAGGACAAUAUACAAAGGGUAUUGAUUUAAUUAAUGAAUAUUAUCAUUAAACCAACAUGUUCGAAAAAUGAAACCCAAACUUAGACCCUGAACUCGAACUUUAAACCCUAAAACCUAAGUUCAAGGUUACAAAUUUAGGGUUUGAGAUUCAGGUUUGAGCCUUGAGGUUUAGGGUUCAAGAUUCUGGGCUCGAGGGUCAAUGUUCAGGAUUCUGGGUUCCGAGUAAAAUAUUUCUAAAAUUAUGUGUUAAUUACAUGGAAAAAAAUUGUUGAAAUGUCAUUAAAUAAUUGGAAAAGGAACAUGGAUGAUGUGGUGGAAAAUAUCCAUAAAAUAGUUUUUGAGCUCUCAAAGUAGUCCAGACUCAUUCAAACCUAAUUUAAACUAUAGGUAGGUAGGUUUACAUACCUCUUAAGUCGCUCUUAAUUUAGAAAUUGAAUAAAUUGAUCACUCUAAAAAAAAAAGAGAAGUGAAAAAAAAUUUUAACAUUCGUGUUUUUUGCAUAAAAUUAAUUUCUUUUUCUUUUUAUUACUGCAUAGGAUAAUUUUGACAAAAAUCAUUACCACCAUCAUUAAUUAUACUUAUUUGUUGAGUUUCAAAAUUAACAUGAAUUAAUUACUUUUAGAUCAAUUUACUUAAUUUUUUUUACCAAAAAUGUGUUAGAACAUUUUCAAAUAUUUAUUGUAUCCCAAUAACUAUAAAUGAAUGGGUGUAAUUAAUCAAAAGAUAAAUCUUUUGGUCAUUGGUCAAAAGUUAUAUCAUUUGAUUUUUUAAAAAGAAUUAUAAUUAUUCAAAAAAUAUUAUUUGAAUAGUUACAAAAUUAAAUGAAUAAUUAUUAUUAUAUAUUUAUUCAUAAAGACACCUAUUGAAAGAUGUCUCUGUGAAGAGACAAGAAAAUUCCUAUAAAUAGGAAUGGGUUUUCAUUUGGAAAUAUAUCAACAAAUUCUAAUAUUAUUUCUUCUCUUCCUUCAUUUUCUAAUAUUAUUAGAUUAUUCUAUAAAGUAUUACUGCAGAAAUCCUUUGUAGAAAUUGAGUUUUUGUUACACAUUACUCAGUGCAUAGUGGACUAUUCUCGUCAGUGCAAAACGCAAAUAGUCAUUGGCUUCAUUGUAUCCUCGAGGUUAAUUUGCUUGGAACUCAUUUGCACACUGAAGAUAAGUGGGGGCGAAUAUAACCUUAAAGAUAGUGGCUUGAUACACACCUUGGAGCCUUGUCCUAUUUCUUCUUUUUCUUUUCGAGUUCCGAUCGUGUGUUCGAGAUUUUCCUUACCGGAGUUUUGUAAUAACAAUUUUAAGGUUAUAAUUCAUGAUGACUACCACAACACAUGAAAGUGGAACACUAAGGGAGUUGGCUUCCAACUUUGUUCAACUUGAUCAUUUUGAUGGUGGUAAUUUUCAACGAUGGCAGAAAAAGAUGCACUUUUUGUUAUCAACUUUGAAGAUUGCUUAUGUUUUGGAUACUCCAAGACCUGAAGAGAAUGAAAACGAAUCUGUUGCUGCAACCCGAGAAAGACAAAAAUGGGACAAUGCUGAUUACAUGUGCAUGGGCCACAUAUUGAAUGGUUUAUCUGAAGGUUUGUUCGACACCUACCAAAACGACGUCACCGCUAAAGAAUUAUGGGACAAAUUGGAGGCAAGAUACAUGACCGAAGAUGUUACAAGUAAGAAAUUUCUUGUCAGUCGUUUCAAUAAUUAUCAAAUGGUUGAUGGUCGUUCUGUUAUGGAAAAAUUUCGUGAUAUUGAAAAGAUGCUGAAUCAAUUUAAGCAAUAUGAUAUGAAAAUGGAUGAAAUGAUUGUGGUAUCCUCUAUAAUAGACAAACUUCCUCCAUCUUGGAAAGACUUUAAAAGAAGUCUAAAACAUAAGAAAGAGGAAAUAUCUCUUGAGGCUUUGGCAAAUCAUCUUCGUAUUGAAGAAGAGUAUCGAAAACAAGAUCAGAACCUAAAUUCUGAAAAUGCCAAAGUACAUGUUACGGAGGAAGUACAGACUACUAAACCAUUCACAAGAAAGUUCAAUCAGGCUGAUAGAGCACCUAAGUUCAAAAAGAAACAAAAGGGCCCAUGCUAUCAUUGUGGAAAGCCGGGACAUUUCAAGAAUGAAUGUUGAUUUUUAAAGAAGAAAUCAUCUUCUAAGGCUGAUAAUAACAAAAAGUUCGUUGCAAUGAUAUCUGAAAUUAAUAUGGUACAAGAUGAUAAUACAUGGUGGAUUGAUACCGGAGCAACCAAACAUGUGUGCAAAGACAAAAGCAUGUUCACAAAGUUCACACAAUGUGAAAAUGACAAUGUCUUGUACAUGGGAAAUUCUUCCACCGCAACAAUUAAAGGCAAAGGGUCUGUUGAACUACAAUUCACUUCUGGAAAGGUUUUAACCUUAAAUGAUGUAUAUUAUGUACCAGAAGUUAGGAAAAAUUUAGUGUCUGGAAGUCUGUUGAGUAAGUUUGGUUUCAAACUUGUUUUUGAGGCAGAUAAGUUUAUUUUGUCUAAUGGAGGAAUUUUUGUGGGAAAAGGGUAUAUGUAUGAAAGCAUGUUCAAACUUAAUAUUAUUAAUAAGAAUAAAAAUACUAUUUCUGCUUAUAUGGUUGAAUCAUUUUGUUUGUGGCAUUAUAGAUUAGGUCAUUUGAAUUAUAGAAAAUUGAAUGACAUGUAUAAAUUAGAUUUAAUUCCUGUUUUUAAUAAUAAUAUUAAAAAAUGCAAUACCUGUAUGUUGACUAAAAUUACAAGAAAUCAUUUCCCUAAGGUUAAAAGGAAAACAAGAUUGCUUGAUUUGAUACAUAGUGAUUUAUGUGACUUGCAUAAUACUCCUACAUUAGGUGGAAAGAAAUAUUUUGUUACUUUUAUUGAUGAUUGUUCUAGAUAUUGUUAUGUAUAUUUAUUGCAUUCAAAAGAUGAAGCACUUGAUAAAUUUAAAGUUUAUAAAUCUGAAGUUGAACUUCAGUGUGAAUCAUUUAUCAAGUGCUUAAGAUCGGAUAGAGGUGGAGAAUACUAUAAUCCAAGUUAUUUUGAACUCACUGGAAUUGUCCAUCAAGUUUCAGCCCCUUACACACCACAACAAAAUGGUGUAGCUGAAAGAAAAAAUAGAGUCUUGACUGAAAUUGUAAAUUCAAUGUUAUCAUAUUCAGGUCUUGGACAAGGUUUUUGGGGAGAAGCUGUUCUAACAGCUUGUCACAUAUUGAAUAGAGUUCCUAAUAAGGAAACUAAAAUAACCCCCUAUGAACAAUGGAAGAAAAGGAAACCAAACAUUAAUUAUUUGAAGGUUUGGGGUUGUAGAGCUAUUGUAAAAGUUCCAACACCUAAACGUAAAAAGUUAGGUGAAAGAGGAAUUGAAUGCAUAUUUAUAGGUUAUGCACAUAAUAGCAAGGCAUAUAGGUUCAUGGUAAUUGAACCAAAUGAUUCAAUUUCAAUUAAUACUGUUAUUGAAUCAAGAGAUGCUAUUUUUGAUGAAAAUAGAUUUAAUUCUAUAUCAAGACAAUUACAACCACAACAAUUGAUUCAUUCUUCAAAUGAGAAUGAGAUUCCAUUGAAACAAAUUGAUAAUAAUGAUGAAUCUUGUCAAGAAUUAAGAAGAAGUAAGGGGAUUAAAAAGGUAAAAGAUUUUGGACUAGAUUUCAUUAUGUUUAUUGUAGAAGGAAAAUGUGAAAGUAUAUGCAAUAAGAUACCUUAUUGUUAUAAUACCGAAUCUGAUCCUAUUACAUUUGAAGAGGCAGUGAAAUCUCAAGACUCUGCUUUUUGGAAAGAAGCAAUAAAUGAUGAGAUGGAUUCAAUAAUGGGAAAUCAAACUUGGAUCUUAGUUGAUCUUCCACCAAGUUCCAAACCAAUAGGUUGUAAAUGGAUCUUCAAAAAGAAAAUGAAGGUCGAUGGAACCAUUGAUAAAUUUAAAGCAAGGUUGGUAGCAAAAGGUUUUACACAAAGACAAGGUAUUGAUUACUUUGAUACCUAUGCUCCAGUAGCAAGAAUUGCUAUAAUUAGACUAUUAAUAUCACUUACCUCUAUAUAUAAUUUGGUUGUUCACCAAAUGGAUGUUAAAACUGCAUUUUUAAAUGGUGAAUUGGAAGAGGAAGUGUACAUGGAGCAAUCGGAAGGAUUUGUUGUUCCAGGACAAGAGCAUAAGGUAUGUAAGCUUGUUAAAUCUUUAUAUGGGCUUAAACAAGCACCAAAACAAUGGCACCAAAAGUUUGACAAGGUUGUUUUAGCUAAUGGCUAUAAAAUAAAUGAAUCCGAUAAGUGCAUAUAUAGCAAAUUUGAUAAUGGAAAGGGUGUCAUAAUUUGCUUAUAUGUAGAUGACAUGCUCAUUUUUGGCACGGAUUUGGAACAAAUAGAAAACACAAAGAAAUUCUUGUCAAACAACUUUGCUAUGAAGGAUAUGGGUGUAGCAGAUGUUAUUCUUGGGAUUAAAAUAACCCGAGAUAAAAGCACUAUGGCUUUAUCACAAUCACAUUACAUUGAAAAUGUGCUUAAAAAGUUUGAUAUCUUCAACUGUAUACCAGCAUCUACACCUAUGGAUCCUCAAUUAAAAUUAGUAUCUAAUGCUGGUAGGAAAAUUGAUCAAUUGAAAUAUGCAAGUCUAAUUGGUUGUCUUAUGUAUAUAAUGACUUGUACAAGACCAGAUAUUGCAUAUGCUGUUGGAAAAUUGAGUAGGUACACAAGUAAUCCAAGUAGUUUGCAUUGGCAAGCUUUGAAUAGAGUACUUAGGUACUUAAAAAAACUAUUAACUAUGGAUUGUGUUAUAAUGGAUAUCCUCCAGUUUUAGAAGGGUAUUCGUAUGCUAGUUGGAUUACAAGUUUGGAAGAUCAUGCAUCUACUAGUGGAUGGAUCUUCAUUCUUGGUGGAGGAGUCAUUUCUUGGGGUUCCAAGAAACAAACAUGUAUUACUGAUUCCACCAUGGCAGCAGAAUUUAUUGCAUUAGCCGCUGCAUCUAAAGAAGCAGAAUGGUUAAGAAAUUUGCUUUAUGAUGUACCUUUAUGGCCUAAGCCAAUUUCACCUAUUUCUAUCCAUUGUGAUAGUGAGGCUACUCUAGCAAAGACAUAUAGCCAAGUAUAUAAUGGAAAGUUUAGACACAUUGGAUUAAGACAUAGUUAUGUCCGACAAUUAAUCUCUGAUGGAGUGACCACUAUUAAUUAUGUGAGGUCAAGUGAAAAUUUGGCAGAUCCUUUGACAAAAAGUCUUGCUAAAGAUGCAGUAAAAAGGACCUCAAAAGGGAUGGGACUCAAGCCUAUUAAUUAGAGUCACCCAUGAUGGAAACUCGACUCAACGCUUGGUAUAACGUCAAGUCUUGAGUUCAAUGAGACAAAGUACAUCAUUAGUAUGUGACUGUUAGCACUAUAAAUAAAUUCAUCCUAAGAUUAAAGUGCUAGGUACUCGUAAUGAUAAGGGAAGGAUGAGUAAUAUACUCUUAAUGGACCCAUAACAUAAAUAUGUUAGAGUGUUAUAAUUAUGGGAACACUUUUGAUGGGAUCUACCUAUGUGAGUGGAAGUGUGGCCGCUUCUAGGAGCUUAAGGGCUUGGCUCUGACAGCACUCAUGAAAAGAGGACAUAGACACAUGGCCAUAAUAGUGUCCCUAGAUACUAAGCAUUGACUGAUGUUGAAAUCAUUGUGUGAGAUGUGUUCAGUUAAUCAAAUGGAAUAGUUGGUUCAAAGCUUAGUCUACCAUGCAAUUUCGAUUAACUUUAACAUGUUUUUCACUAAGUGAAGGUUCAAUCGUAAGACACCUUUAUUUAUGCAAAUUGAUUUCCAAGAAUAUCAAAAUCUAAAUAUUUUGAAAAUGGGGGGAGAUUGUUAGAACAUUUUCAAAUAUUUAUAGUAUCCCAAUAACUAUAAAUGAAUGGGUGUAAUUAAUCAAAAGAUAAAUCUUUUGGUCAUUGGUCAAAAGUUAUAUCAUUUGAUUUUUUAAAAAAGAAUUAUAAUUAUUCAAAAAAUAUUAUUUGAAUAGUUACAAAAUUAAAUGAAUAAUUAUUAUUAUAUAUUUAUUCAUAAAGACACAUAUUGAAAGAUGUCUCUAUGAAGAGACAAGAAAAUUCCUAUAAAUAGGAAUGGGUUUUCAUUUGGAAAUAUAUCAACAAAUUCUAAUAUUAUUUCUUCUCUUCCUUCAUUUUCUAAUAUUAUUAGAUUAUUCUAUAAAGUAUUACUGCAGAAAUCCUUUGUAGAAAUUGAGUUUUUGUUACACAUUACUCAGUGCAUAGUGGACUAUUCUCGUCAGUGCAAAACGCAAAUAGUCAUUGGCUUCAUUGUAUCCUCGAGGUUAAUUUGCUUGGAACUCGUUUGCACACUGAAGAUAAGUUGGGGCGAAUAUAACCUUAAAGAUAGUGGCUUGAUACACGCCUUGGAGCCUUGUUCUAUUUCUUCUUUUUCUUUUCGAGUUCCGAUCGUAUGUUCGAGAUUUUCCUUACCGGAGUUUUGUAAUAACAAAAUGUAGCAUUCAUAUCUCAUAUCCAUAGAGAGAGUGAGGUGGGGAGAGCCAUAACCGCUGUUGUCACUUUCACAUGUCACAGAAUUUUUAAAUAUAUUAUAUACCUUAUUCAUUGUUCUAAUUUUCCCUUAUCCAUUUAUUCCUUUUAUUUGUUUAUUUUGGGAUGAGAAAUGAUAAUAUAGGAAAAGAACCACUGUGACUCUUGGAGCGAUUAGAGUGCCGAAAGCAUUGGUAUGCUUUGUGUCCUAGCUUGCUGCAUACAUAACAACUCAUUGGGUUGUUCGACUUUUGAUUCCUUCUCGGUUUCUUGAAUUUAGCAAGCUUCUUGGAUUGAACCUGUUAAGUUUAGGACCAGAAGAAGAUUCCACGAGGUUAGCCUUAAACCUGUCUAAAUCUAUUUUUUAGCCUUGUACUUUUAUCUAAAUUUUAUUAUAUUCCGAAAACAUAUUUAAAUUUGGGUAAUAAUAGAAUUCUUGAACAAAUCUAUUCGAAUUGCAAUUGAAUAAUGAUAAUGAUUCAUUUAUCAUUUAAUUAUAUUUUUAUUUUUUUGAAUAAUCUCAUUAUAAGUUCUGAUCAUAUCUGAUCUUUUUAAGAUAUUGCCUAUAACUACCCACAGCCCCUCCCCAACCCAUACAUAGGAGAAUAAUGCACUUCUGUGCACCCGAACCCUCAUCCUCCUACAUUGACAAAAAUACCAAUGCCAAUCGAGUUAAGACCUAAUCAACAUUUAUCAUUUAAAUUUAAAUUUAAAUAUAACAACAUAUUUUUUUUGGAUACGACGAUGUGUAAGAAAUUAAAAAAAUAUUUAUUAUAUAAAUUUAAAUAUAAAUUAUUACCUUCCAACUAUAAUAUUAGUUGCAACUUAAAAAAUAAUUGACCGUUGAUUGAUAUAAUUUUACCUAAAUUAAUAUAUUCUUAUUUUGAUUACUUGUGUGGUUUAUUAGCGACGCAUCUUUGAAGUCAAACAAUCAAAUUGAACACUUUUAAUAUAAUUCAAGUUCCCUUAAAGAUGGAGUCAUAAAAGAAGUUUGAUAGCAGAGAGAUCUCACUCAUUACAUGUAUAAUUAAUAACCUUUUUACUUCACUAUUUUAAUGGAAAGAAGUGGUUAUAAUUGAACAAGUCUUAUUAAAUAUACACAUUGAGAGAGCAUCUUAUUUAUUUAUAAAACAAUAAUUUUAUUGAAUGCAAAAUGUUUACAUAUGUGGUUAUCUUUUUUAUUUGCCUAUUUUCAAGUUUGGCAUACUCUACAAGAAAAAUAUUGAACUAUCUGUUGUGGGAUUAUUAAGAUGAAUUAAAACCCAAAACAUAAAAACCAAUUAAGUUGAAAUUGAAGAUUUGAAUAUUGAUUUCUUGCGGAUAGAUAAUAUAUUAGUCUUUUAAUCAAUUUGUUCAUUUUCAAUUAGACUAAUGACAUGUUUAGGUUCAUUUAUUGAUAUAAGUUGUCUUUUCGUAUUAUGAUCCGACCAUGUAAUACUGCUUAUUAUUAGUUAAAGGUUAGAUAACCAUUGAGCCAAUAUUUACUUUCAUUUUGCUUUGUGCAAAAACCAUUGAGGACAAUAUACAAAGGGUAUUGAUGUAAUUAAUGAAUAUUAUCAUUAAACCAACAUGUUCGAAAAAUGAAACCCAAACCUAGACCUUGAACUCGAACUUUAAACCCUAAAACCUAAGUUCAAGGUUAGAGGUUUAGGGUUUGAGCCUUGAGGUUUAGGGUUCAAGAUUCUGGGUUCCGGGUUCAGGGUAAAAUAUUUCUAAAAUUAUGUGUUAAUUACAUGGAAAAAAAUUGUUGAAAUGUCAUUAAAUAAUUGGAAAAGGACCAUGGAUGAUGUGGUGGAAAAGAUCCAUAAAAUAGUUUUUGAGCUCUCAAAGUAGUCCGGACUCAUUCAAACCUAAUUUAAACUCUAGGUAGGUAGGUUUACAUACCUCUUAAGUCACUCUUAAUUUAGAAAUUGAAUAAAUUGAUCACUCUAAAAAAAAAGAAGUGAAAAAAAAAUUUAACAUUCGUGUUUCUUGCAUAAAAUUAAUUUCUUUUUCUUUUUAUUACUGCAUAGGAUAAUUUUGACAAAAAUCAUUACCACCAUCAUUAAUUAUACUUAUUUGUUGAGUUUCAAAAUUAACAUGAAUUAAUUACUUUUAGCAUUCAUAUCUCAUAUCCAUAGAGAGAGUGAGGUGGGGAGAGCCAGAACCGCUGUGGUCACUUUCACAUGUCACAGAAUUUUUAAAUAUAUUAUAUACCUUCUUCAUUGUUCUAAUUUUCCCUUAUCCAUUUAUUCCUUUUAUUUGUUUAUUUUGGGAUGAGAAAUGAUAAUAUAGGAAAAGAACCACUGUGAAACACACAAAGGAUAAGUGGAUAAGAAUUCCCCAAUACCCCAAAAUAGGAUUUGGUCUCAAUUUCUCACCUCCAAAUGCUCAUCCACUUAAACUUGUGAUUUCCAUAUAAUUUAAUAUAAAUAUAUAUUCUUACAUGUUUUAAUAUGUAUCCCAUUUUUUUAAUAUAAAACCUUUUUUUUUUCUGAUAUUUUUCAUUGCCAGUCAGUCCCUUAUUAAUAAGUAGAGUAUUUCCAUAACUGGUUUAAUUCCCUUCAUGCACUGUGCUCCAUAGUCUUGGAACCCAAGGGUAUGCCUUUUCUCUACCUUAUUUCAUUGUCUUUUGGCCAUGUUGGUUUAGACGGUAGACUUUCUAUGAUUCUGCUGCAUUAAUAUUCAAUUUUACACUACAUUUCCCCAUGUUUAUGUUUUGCUAUGUUAGCUAAAUUCAAGUUUAAGUCUCUGAUAUUGGUGUGUUUGACAUAUAAACUUUAUCCCGAGUUCUGGGAUGAUUUUUUUUCUAUAUCCAUAUUCGAACAAAUGAAUUUGGCUCAGUAGUUUGUAUUUAUGUUUUUCUAUUGAAUAUUUUGGGUUAAAUAUCUUUUCUUCUUGUUCUUUUUAUCUCAAUUUAUGUUAUUUAAAUUGAAGUUGAAUGUUAAAAUAUGAGUAUGUAUCUAGAACGAAUAUAUCUAAUGUAUUUGAAGUAUCCUAUAAUAUAUUCAAUAUUGAAUGAAGAUGCUUAAAGAAAAAAUAAAAGUUUUGGGAGUUAAUUUUCAUGUUAAACAUGGAGUUAAAAGUGGUAGGCACUGAGAAUUGUAAACGUAUUGAAAAAUGGUAGCAAAGGGCUCCCAAAGUCAAUUUCUUAAUUUCAAAGGUUAGAGCCUCACUUAUUUUAAUUGGUUUUGUAUCUUACAUAUCUUAUCGAGUCAAUUUUAGUAAAAAUUUAUGCUAAUACGAAUCAAAAGAGUUUCUAUUUUUGAUAAUUUAAAGGAAUUUUUAAAUAUAUUAAAAGAAAUUCUAAAUGCAUAGAAAAAUUUAAAAUAUUUAUAUACACAAUGAACCAUGUCUAUGUAACAUAAGUUUAAUUAGUUUCUUCUCAUCUCUAUACUUUUAUGCAUGCAUUUGGAACUUUGAUAUAAUUUUAGUAUUAUUUUCUAAAAAUAUUAAAAGAAUACUUUUAAAAAUAUUGAUUUAAUUAUUUAAAUUUUUAUGUAAAGCUAGGUGGAUAAUGAGUGCAAAAAAAGACGCUCAUAGUCUAGGUCUUGAAGCCCGACAUUUGAUUGAACUAUCGUCCGUACCAUUUAGUCUGGUUACAUUGUUUUGGUCCCUAAUCCUAACUGGUAUCAUUUGUUUUUUCAGACAGCAGACUCUUUUAACAUUUCACCGCAAAGAUGGAGAUAACAAAUGUGAGCGAGUAUCAAGAAAUUGCAAAGCAAAAGUUGCCAAAGAUGGCGUAUGACUACUAUGCAUCUGGUGCUGAGGACCAAUGGACAUUGCAUGAGAAUAGAUUUGCUUUCACUAAGAUACUGUGAGCUUUUUUUUUUCAAAACAAGACCAGAUCGUUCCUUUAUUGCUAAAUGUUUAUGUCUCAAUUUGUUGACUUUCUUUGUUCUUAAGGUUUCGUCCUCGUAUUCUCAUCGAUGUAAGCAAGAUAGACAUGACCACGACUGUGUUGGGUUUCAAGAUAUCAAUGCCUAUCAUGAUUGCCCCAACUGCCUUCCAAAAAAUGGCUCAUCCUGAAGGUAUGGAAUCGGUUUCAUUUUGUUAUUUAGUUCUUGUUUCAUGGAAGCCAAUUUGAGUGAGAUCCCUUUCAAUUUGUGUGACAGGGGAGUAUGCAACAGCUAGGGCUGCAUCUGCUGCUGGAACUAUCAUGGUUUGGCUUCUCAUUCCCGAUUAAUUUAACCCCAAUCGUCGAAUGUUUUUAUGCUAAAACCGAUCCAUAACCGAUGACAGUGUUCCAAUUCAUUUUUAACUUGCUUGCUGAUCAUUUCAGACAUUAUCCUCAUGGGCAACUUCUAGUGUUGAGGAGGUUGCUUCGACAGGACCCGGCAUUCGGUUUUUCCAACUCUAUGUAAGUUCAAAAAUGCAUACAUUGGUGUCCUGUAUUUGUUCAUCAACUGAUCUUCGAUGUCGAAUCUCAAGGUAUACAAGGACAGGAAUGUAGUUGCACAGCUCGUUAGAAGAGCCGAGAGGGCUGGUUUCAAGGCAAUUGCCCUUACAGUUGAUACUCCGAAACUCGGUCGCAGAGAAGCUGAUAUCAAGAACAGGUAUUAUUGUCUCGCAGUGUCUUUGAGACUGUUAAGCAUUCUUCGUAAUAUAUUCGAGUUACACUCAAAGAGUCUUAUGUUUCAAAAUUCCCUUGCAGGUUCACUUUACCCCCAUUUUUGACAUUGAAGAACUUUGAAGGUUUGGACCUUGGCAAGAUGGAUCAAGUGAGUAGUCCUUUCGACAUUAGUGUUAAAAAAUAUACUAAUGAGAUGAGCAUUUGUUUCCUAAGAUAUUUAACUUGUUAUUGGGAGCCAUGCAGGCUGAUGACUCGGGUCUUGCUUCGUAUGUUGCCGG
This 20508-nucleotide long non-coding RNA is filed under the name Gossypium barbadense (sea-island cotton). Its description in RNAcentral is "long non-coding RNA (GBAR_LNC013151)". The record is from RNAcentral. Lineage: Eukaryota; Viridiplantae; Streptophyta; Magnoliopsida; Malvales; Malvaceae.